CCGUAUGUGAUGGUCUUACGGGUGCUCUCGGACACAGACACUAGCUAGAGCCUGCAAAAAUAAAUAUAACACGAAUAAUAUUAUAUUUCACUUUAUUCAUAAAUGAGAAUUAAACUAAAAUAUUAUACCUCUAGGUAGUGUAUGGGCUGGUAUCCUUGGCAACCCCAACACUUUAUACCAGUCGAUAGUGUUACUGGGAGGAUCUUGAGACGUAACCCAAAGAGUCGUCUCCUCAUCCUGAGAUAAACUAAUCUCAAGUAGAGGGAUGAUGGAAUCUAAUAUCUCGAAAUCUCCCCCUAGUAGCCUGCAACUCAGCUAUACGCUGGCAUUACAGCUUCUCAAACCGGUCUUGUAAUUUAAUAUAUGUAUAUGCGAGUUAACUCAGCAUCAUUAUAUAAAUUACGUAAUAUGAUCCUAAAUAAAAAUUAUUAUAGUAGAUGUAUUACUCGUAUAGCUAAUACUACGGGAGACAUCGUCGAAGCUGAAAUCGAAGCCUUCGGCGUAUAGACUAUAUCCCAAAACUCGACCAUAGUAGGAGGUCUACCUUAGCUACUCUGUAUGGCCUAAAUCAUACAUUAAUUAAUAUCACAUUACCUUACUAUAGAUCCCAACAAUAUUAAUCCUCACUAAAUAUAGAUACAUACUGACUUAACCUCCUGAAACGACUACGAUCCAGAAGUAUGUACAAUCCGGAGCUUGCCUCGAUUCUUCUUCAUCUGCUCGGACUUUGUCUUAAAGGCAGCAUCAUCCCAGUAUGUACACAUGGCCUCCCAUGUUGUAUCUGAUACGGUUGGCGGCUGAUGAUCUCGUAUAGUAGUCCCGGACUGGAUGUCAACUACUCGGCUGCCCUCUGCCUCUUCUCGUACAGCCAGCCGACAUAGUUCUUCGAGACGUGUGCAAUAAUAUAUAUACCAGCGUCGUUGUUUACGCCAGAGAUGCCCUCCUCAUAUCUAUAAUAUGUUUAUAAAAAUUCCAUAACGUACGUAUCAGUAAAAAUUUGAACAAUAUGUAAAUAACUAGGAUCAAUUUUUUGAUUUAACAUAUGUAAUUCGACUUACGUGAAACUCGUGCAACAUUGUCACCAUAAAGGAGGCAUUAUAUUGCGUGUACUGGCUAAAUUGCAUGCAACUAGUAGGGAGGUGCUAUAACGCCCCAAAAUCAAGACUAUUUCUCUUAUCGAUCUUGUGCGUUAACAACUAUCUUGUUCUGGUUAUCAAUAAUAUAAUUGAUAAAUUUGCGGAUAAUUUAAAACUUAUCUUUCUGUCUUUUUUUCGUUCCUUGAAUCGCAACUUUUACGAUUCUCUUUUAUUUAAAAAUUAUAUUUAUUUUAUAAUUUAGUUUAUCAAAGUGAUAUGAGUAUAAUAUAACUCAUUUCUUAGCUUAUAUCAUUUCUUAUACAAUAUCAUUUCUAUAAGACAUUACCGUUUAAGGUAAUUGCCAAACUGUAUUUCAGUCCUAACACAAACAAUCUUCAUUUAUCGAAUAACUCAAUAUUUACACAAUUCUCAUUUACACAUAUCAAAAAUCGUCAUUUUGAUGUAAUAUAGUUCCUACUUAAAGGAAAUAGCUUUCCUGCACACAGGCCACUACUCUGUCAUCUGGAUAGCAAGAAAUCGUGUUGCAUAUCAUACCUGUAAAAAAUUAUACUUUUGCAAGACUAAGCUCGACAACCCAGCAAAUCUAACAGUUUUCAUGCUUCAUAUAACACGUAGUUUCAUGCUCAACAUAUAUCUCAUAAUCCUUUAUACCAUUCAUGCAUCAUCACUUUAAACAAUAUAUGUUCAUAUCAUAUAUCACAUAUGUAUUGAGUUCCAUAACUCAAUAAGCUUAGUCAUAAACUGACUUUCACAGUUUAUAGCAUGUAACAUGUAAUUCAACAUAUUCUUAAGGAUAUCAUACAAUAACCAAUUCAUAGAAUCACAAAGAAACUGAAAGACUUGUCUUGAAUGCCGUUUAAUGUUAUAACUUAUCCGCUUUGUGAAGAUACUACAUAAAUUGAGGAUACAUACAUGCACAUAUUAGUUCCACAUAUUAAAUUCACAUACUUAAUGUAAACUAAUUAAUUUACAUUAACUAUAAUCCUUUGUUCUCAUCUUAAAACUAUUUCACAUUUCUUUAGAAACUUUUGUUUAUUAUAACCCUUUUUAUGCCCAAAAGGGUUCUCUCAUAGCUUUAGUAUAUAAAUACUUUACAUUUCAAAACAUAAACCAUUUCUGUCCAUUUGUAGAAAUAUUUCUUGCCUCUAUUUAUAAACUUGGGACUAUAUGACUUAUAAAUAGCUUUUACAUUCCUUUAGAUUUUUUUGAGAUUAUGGCUUUUAAAACACCAAUUCAUUGCAUUUAUAGUUUAUAUAUCCUUUACAAUGCAUUUAUAGAUUUAUUAUGCAUCUAUAUGUAAAUUUAUAGCCAUAUCGUACAUCUGUGCCUUUCUUUGCACAUUUCUAGCUUAACUUCGCUUUUGUAACUUAGACUCCAUUUCGCAUGUAUAGUAGCUUUCCAUACUUAACAUGUUUAUAUAACAAUACUUAUCUCCAUUCCGUGCAUAUAUAUAUGAGGUAUAUAUAUAUAAGGUCUGGAUCUUAAGCUCACCCCUUAUCUAGCUCACCUUGCUCACCCCCCUUUAGCGACGGACCGGGCGACGAUUCGAUCCGUCGCUAUAUAUAGAAUCGUCGUCUUAGCUUUUAGCGACAGACAACAUAUAGCGACGAACCGAACAUAUAGCGACGGACCGAAUCGUCGCCCGGUUCGUCGCUAAAGGGGGGUGAGCUUAAGAUCCGGAUCGUAUAUAUAUAUAUAUAUGUAGACCGGUUCUCUCCAGCGAACUGGAGGCCAGCGAACUGGAGGAAGCGAACUAAGAGCGAACCGGCUAUAGCAACAGUUUUUUUCGUCGCUAUAGCAUAAAAAAUCGGCUUUCUAUGUCGACGAAAAAAAUCUUGAAAUCUGUGUCGCCGCCUUGAAAUACGUUUCACGACAUCAAUUAUUACAUUUUGAUUUGAAAAUUGCAUCGCGGAGUCGGACUGGGCCAGGCUGCCCUUGGCUUGGCCCAACCGGCCUGGACAUAGGCUGUUGGCGAACGUGUUCUGACAUCCACUUUGCACAUUUUUAGUUUUCACCUCGCCCGUCCGAUUCCGAGUAAUUUUGGAUAUGUUAUAGGUGGUAUGUCAACCUAUUUUUAAAAAAAUUCUAGCCAUGCAUUUCAGGAAACCUAAGCUAGAGAAAAGGAGGCGUCAAAAAAGUAGCAAGUGGCUGCCAACAGGUGGUUGGGCUGCUAUGGGCAAACCCACCUUUUCCCGCGUAGCAACUUUGCGAUUUUCUAACUUUUGGCUCACACGUCGGAUCAUGUUAAUUUUCGAAUAUGUUAUACUUGAUAUAUGGGAAUAUUUUUAAAAAAAAUAUUAGCCACCUAUUUCGGGUUCGAUAGGUGGUUCGAAUAACGUGCCAAAAAUGGGUGAGCGCACUAACUUUUACUUUUUCAUUUCGAGUUAAAAAUGUUUUUCGUUCUAAUUUGAUUUUCCUAAACUCUUAAAUUAAUUAUGUAUAAUGUAUAUAAACAUAGCAUUAGUCUCGGCUUCACUUAAUCAUUUAUUUCUAUCAAACACAGUCCAUAGAGGAUUUUUAGCGAACACCUUAUGUGCGUUGUUUUAAAAUGCAGAUUUAAUAACCAUUCAUUUGCUUUCCAAACCCAAUUCAGCCUCCUUAUUACUCAGCACAACCAAUCCUAUACUCCUUGGCUCUAUUUUCAAUCCAUACCAAUCACUUGUACAACUAAAUCAAAUACAUACUAUUAGAUUAUAAACUAACUAGUUUAAUGACUUAUUAGCUUUCAAUUUCAUUGUUUCUAGCAUAACCAAUAUGCCACAUAUAAAUAUCCAUUUCCAAUCCAUAAGGCUAUAAUCAAUCACAGUUAAACUAAUUAAUCAAUUUGAAUAGUUUAACUGUUUUUAUUUUAACUAACUAUUGUUCAUAUACUUGAACAUAAUAUACAUCACCUUUCUUUGCUUGAUGCUUGAUUGUUGUUAUCCUUUUAAGCUUAAUCCCCAGCUUCCCAAUCCAAUUUUUGAAGCUUCAGUUUUUUUUAUUGGUCUAGCCGAAUGGAUGGACUGAAGUUUGGGAGAGGGGUGGCGGGUGGAGCUGAACAAGGAAGGAACGGAAAUGGAAUAGAAAGCUUUGGUUUUUAUAGAACAGUUGAUUUUCCUUUCUUGCUUGCUACGAACUUUACUUGAUCCUACUCUCAAAACUUGAUUGUCCCGAAAUAGGUUGGCUAAAUGUUUAAGCCUCUAUCUACUGUAGGCUACACCUCCUGCUUCCUUAUGCUCACAUUCAGUUAGAAACUCUUGG
Molecule: long non-coding RNA, 4337 nt
Filed under: Panax ginseng (ginseng)
Lineage: Eukaryota; Viridiplantae; Streptophyta; Magnoliopsida; Apiales; Araliaceae
Description: long non-coding RNA (PGIN_LNC009313)
Source: RNAcentral